This 77-nucleotide transfer RNA is filed under the name Clostridiales bacterium. RNAcentral describes it as "tRNA-Pro". It matches the Rfam family "tRNA". From Rfam's summary of the family: Transfer RNA (tRNA) molecules are approximately 80 nucleotides in length. Their secondary structure includes four short double-helical elements and three loops (D, anti-codon, and T loops). The record is from RNAcentral. Lineage: Bacteria; Bacillati; Bacillota; Clostridia; Eubacteriales.
CUGGGUGUGGCGCAGCUUGGUAGCGUGCUUGAAUGGGGUUCAAGAGGCCGAAGGUUCAAAUCCUUUCACCCAGACCA